Molecule: long non-coding RNA, 663 nt
Organism: Oreochromis aureus
Lineage: Eukaryota; Metazoa; Chordata; Actinopteri; Cichliformes; Cichlidae
Source: Ensembl
GUCGGCAGCAGGAGCUCGAGCAACAACAGAGAGUCUAUUGAUCAUACAAGGAAGACUCUUUUUUUGGCUACCAGUUUCUAAAUGGUGCCAAUCCCUUUUUGAUCCGGCGCUGUACAGAACUGCUGGAGAACUUUCCUGUCACUGAUGACAUAGUCAGCAUAGUUUAGCAGAUGAAAUGAAGAAUGGCAACAUCUUCCUGUGUGACUACAAGAUUUUGGAUGGAGUGCAGACAAACACCAUCACUGGAAAGAAGCAGUACUUGAUGGCCCCCUCGUUCUACUCGUUCUACUCCCAAAUAUCCAAGAUCAUAAUAAAACCAGUACACAGCGUGCAGCCCCAUGCACGGGGCGAUCCGUGAUAACUCGCUAACAGAGAUUUGCCGCGUUAAUGCGUUUAUGGCAUUAACGCCAUUUUAACAAGAUUAACGCUGACAGCACUAAUCUAUACAUAUCAGACCAGACCAUAUAGACUCAACAGACCUGCAUGUUAAGUCUUAGAGUUCAGGACAACAGAAUCAGAAAAAGACUAAAUAAGUAUGGCCUGUUUGGAAGCGUUGCCAAGAGAAAUCCUCUACUGUCUGAAAAGAAAACGUCAGCAUGGCUUAGUUUUGCCACGACUUCAAGUAAUUCAUUUUGGACAGAUGAGAUCUCCUCUGUUAUGUUU